RNAcentral lists this ribosomal RNA (1563 nucleotides) under metagenome. Its description in RNAcentral is "bacterial LSU rRNA". It matches the Rfam family "Bacterial large subunit ribosomal RNA", at positions 1337 to 2925 of the family's 2925-position model. The record is from RNAcentral.
CCGAAUAUCCAAGGUUUCCAGGGUAAAGCUGAUCUGCCCUGGGUAAGUCGGGGCCUAAGGUGAGGACGAGAGUCGUAGCCGAUGGACAACAGGUGGAGAUUCCUGUACUAUGAUAUGGCAGAACUGUGGGGACACGUGCAGAGAGCGGAAGCCGGGAACGGGAUCCCGGUGCAAGCGAGGUACCAGAUGCGUUGGAAAAACCGCGCAUCAAUGGGAAGACGUGAUGCGGAGUGAAGUUUAGUAAUGAAGUCCGUGAGCUGUGCGUCAAGAAAAGCCGCUAUUGUUCAUACCAUACCCGUACCGUAAACCGACACAGGUGGAUGAGGAGAGAAUCCUAAGGCCGGCGGAAGAAGCAUUGUCAAGGAACUCGGCAAAAUGACCCCGUAGCUUCGGGAGAAGGGGUGCCACUGAGAAGUGGCCGCAGAGAAUAGGCUCAAGCUACUGUUUAGCAAAAACACAGGUCUAUGCGAAACCGUAAGGUGAGGUAUAUGGGCUGACGCCUGCCCGGUGCUGGAAGGUUAAGAGGAGAGGUUAGCGGAAACGCGAAGCUUUGAAUUUAAGCCCCAGUAAACGGCGGCCGUAACGAUAACGGUCCUAAGGUAGCGAAAUUCCUUGUCGGGUAAGUUCCGACCCGCACGAAAGGCGUAAUGAUUUGAGCGCUGUCUCGACAAUGCAUCCGGUGAAAUUGAAGUACCAGUGAAGAUGCUGGUUACCUGCGCCAGGACGGAAAGACCCCAUGGAGCUUUACUCCAGUUUUUACUGGGAUCCGGUACUGCAUGUACAGGAUAGGUGGGAGGCUAUGAAAUGGUAACGCCAGUUGCCAUGGAGCCGCUGUUGGGAUACCACCCUUGCAGUAUUGGGUUUCUAACCAGCCGCCGUGACCCGGCGGUGGGACAAUGCCAGACGGGGAGUUUGACUGGGGCGGUCGCCUCCGAAAGGGUAUCGGAGGCGCCCAAAGGUUCCCUCAGGAUGGACGGAAACCAUCCAAAGAGUGCAAAGGCAGAAGGGAGCUUGACUGCGACACCGACGGGUGGAGCAGGUACGAAAGUAGGGCUUAGUGAUCCGGUGGUAUUAAGUGGGAAUGCCAUCGCUCAACGGAUAAAAGCUACCCUGGGAUAACAGGCUUAUCACUCCCAAGAGUUCACAUCGACGGAGUGGUUUGGCACCUCGAUGUCGGCUCAUCGCAUCCUGGGGCUGUAGUAGGUCCCAAGGGUUGGGCUGUUCGCCCAUUAAAGCGGUACGCGAGCUGGGUUCAGAACGUCGUGAGACAGUUCGGUCCCUAUCCGGCGUGGGCGUAGGAUAUCUGAGAGGAGCUGUCCUUAGUACGAGAGGACCGGGAUGGACGGGCCGCUGGUGCACCGGUUAGACUGCCAAGUCUAUAGCCGGGUAGCCAAGCCCGGAAGGGAUAAACGCUGAAGGCAUCUAAGCGUGAAGCCCCCCUCAAGAUGAGAUAUCCCAUCCGAAAGGAGUAAACCCCCUUGAAGACGACGAGGUUGAUAGGGCAGGGGUGGAAGUGUGGUAACACAUGGAGCUGACUGCUACUAAUAGGGUGAGGGCUUGACC